This is a small nucleolar RNA of Phyllostomus discolor (pale spear-nosed bat), 134 nucleotides long. RefSeq annotates it as small nucleolar RNA SNORA42/SNORA80 family. Lineage: Eukaryota; Metazoa; Chordata; Mammalia; Chiroptera; Phyllostomidae. The record is from RefSeq and is a predicted model, not a curated record. The transcript has a single exon.
GCAUGGGUUUGGAGUUAUGGCAGGCCCGUCCCUCUGGGUCUCUCUCAGUGUCCCAUGCCAGAGCAGACUGUGGCCUUAAACCGUUGCCUGGCCUCUGCCCAGAGGCUGCAGGCGCUGAAGUGGGUUACACAGUG